Pygocentrus nattereri (red-bellied piranha) is the source of this 2022-nucleotide long non-coding RNA. The record is from Ensembl. Lineage: Eukaryota; Metazoa; Chordata; Actinopteri; Characiformes; Serrasalmidae.
GGAAGGCCGGAGGGCUUUGCUUUCCAAACUGCUCGUAUGAGUCUAAGCUCUCAUCGCCUCCAAUGGAGUUUUUCCUUGCCACUGACUCCAUUGGCAACGCUCACCGAGGCUCGGACCCAGAUUUUUCUGCAGAGCUGCUUUGUAACAACAUCCAUCCAUCCAUCCAUCCAUUUUCCAAGCCGCUUCUCCGUCAGGGUCGCGGGGGGGAGCUGGAGCCUAUCCCAGCAGUCUUCGGGCGGAAGGCAGGAUACACCCUGGACAGGUCGCCAGUCCAUCGCAGGGCAGACACACAGACAGUCACUCACACACUCACACCUAGGGACAAUUUAGCACACCCAAGCUUUGUAACAACACCUCUUUUAAAAAGCUCUAUAUAAAUAAACUUUGACUUGAUUUGUAAAAGGGAGCAAAACACUACAUGUGCAUGUUAUUUAAUCUUAUUUGGGAAGCUGUUUAAAAUUAAAUUAGUUCUAGUUCUCUGUUCUCUUUCCUCAUACAGCGAUGACUGCCUGUCAAACAUUGCGGGGUUUCAAUGCUCAUUAGCCAUAUUAGCCUCGUAGCUCCAGAUCAAAAGCAAAGGAGCAAGCUUGAGAUCUCAGAUAUGUCACGGCUAAUCAACAACAUUCGCAAUAAAGGGGAAAACUUUUAUGUUAUGCCCAGAAAAAAAAAAGAUCUUCCUUUAAUCCACAUGGUUUAAGUCAUCAGCUAAUCACCAAGACCCUAAACAAGCUACAGUGCUGCCAUAUUAGGCCAUGCAGUUAACUGCUGUAAUCCAAUGGUCUGUCCAGUGUAGCUGACCACAUGUCAGCCUCAGUCGGAUUCACCUGAGGAUUCUUUAGGAGUGGAAAACAGUUGUUAACUUUGAACUGGAAUCAAAAAGUUUUAUUGCAGUCUACAAAUAUCAGCACAGCGUAUUAACAGACCGACAGGCUCCUCCGAAAAACCACGUAAAGUACGGGCAAGUAGCAGAAAGCGCGGGUUGCCGUAUUGCAGGGCGCUUCGUGCUGCCAGCUUCAGUCCACGAUCCAUUUAGAUAGUGAAUUAUAUCAUUAGAAAAGCAUGAAGUGGUUAGAGCUGGAGUGAAGGAGUGAAAUUGGUAGCAGAUUGGAAGAACUGCUCCAGAACACCAGCGACUGUUGACAGGGUGAGUUAUGGGAGUGAACAUCAGCGAGGGGGAGACGUGGGUGGUCGUGCCUUUGUGCGUGUUGUGUCUAGAGAGAGAGCGAGGCGUCCAAACACGGCAAGUAGGCCCCUCCAUUAAGCUAUAUUUCCACACGUCAAAGUCAAAGCGCUGCUGUCCGUGUCCUCACACUUCGUCAACGAAACCCUCGCCCACAUCUAUCUAGCAUUCCCUCCAUCGCUGAGGGCGCAGUUAUCAUUUAUCUCUGUCUGUCAGCGUAUCUUCUAAUGCCUCCUGGCUGUGGUCCAGGCUUAUCUCGAGCAGAGCGGGACAGGACCAGGGGAGUGUUUAGUUUGGCCUUUACUCCUCCUCAAGCUCACAAACACGACGCCGCUCUGGAGAGAUGCUCUCUCGGCUGAACUCUUCAACCCUCAGCCGCGCUCGGGACAAACGGCCUUGAGCACGUCCCGCACUGCGACUGUACCACUGUGCGUUCAACUGGGACUUCAUAGGUGGGGAGCCCUGGCUUCUCCAUGGCUGUCUCCAAUGUGGGAGCUCUCAGCUGUAGAGCAACAACAGCUUUGUUUAUUUAUUGCACCUUUCAUGCAUUUAAAAUAAAUAUGAAAAAUAAAAAACAAUUAGCAAGAGAGAGAAAAAGAAAGAAGAGGCAGUCAAAUAAAAUUUGCAACAAAUAAAAAUGUGGCAAAAAAAGAAUGAACAAUUAUAACUAUGAAAAAUUACAUUACAUAUGUUCAUUUUCAUACAAAAAAGAAAGAGGAGCUCUUGUUCUCUGAUGCGUUUGAAACAGUUCUUUUAACUAGUUUAAAGCUUUUAAUGUGACUUUCAUCUUUGUCAGAAAAAAAUCAUAUUUUGAUAUAAUUUUAUUCCAAAAUUGACUAACC